AAUACAUGCAGUCGAGCGGGGAUUAUGCCUGAUCGCUUCGGUGAGACGGCAUAUAUCCUAGCGGCGGACGGGUGAGUAACGCGUGGGUAAUCUACCUCGUAGUUCGGGAUAACAGGCCGAAAGGCUUGCUAAUACCGGAUGAGUUCAUGCUUAUGCAUAUAGGCAUGAAGAAAGGGCUAGCCCGCUAUGAGAUGAGCCCGCGUUCCAUUAGCUUGUUGGUGGGGUAACGGCCUACCAAGGCUACGAUGGGUAGCCGGCCUGAGAGGGUGUACGGCCACACUGGGACUGAGACACGGCCCAGACUCCUACGGGGGGCAGCAGUAGGGAAUUUUCGGCAAUGGGCGAAAGCCUGACCGAGCGACGCCGCGUGAGGGACGAAGGCCUUCGGGUUGUAAACCUCUGUCUGGGGGGAUGAGAACGGACGGUA
This 427-nucleotide ribosomal RNA is filed under the name uncultured bacterium. RNAcentral describes it as "bacterial SSU rRNA". It matches the Rfam family "Bacterial small subunit ribosomal RNA", at positions 50 to 477 of the family's 1533-position model. The record is from RNAcentral.